AAAGAGUAGGAAACGACUGAGCGACUGAAUAACAAUAUGAGUCAUUGCUAGUUCACUCAUAAUUUUGUUAUGAAAGCAAAAUAACAGAAAGCCAUCAGUGUAAUCGAGUUUCAUUUACUGUUGUUCAGUCGCUCAGUCGUGUCCAGCUCUGUGCAACCCCACGGACUGCAGCAUGCCAGGCCUCACUGUCCGUCACCAACUCCCGGAGUCCACCCAGACUCAUGUCCAUCGAGUCGGUGAUGCCAUCCAACCAUCUCAUCCUCUGUUGCCUCCUUCUCCUCCUCUCCUCAAUCUUUUCCAACAUCGGGGUCUUUUUUAAUGAGUUGGCUCUCCGCAUCAGGUGGCCAACAGUUAUUACGAACUGUUGCUUCAUAAUAACUCCAAAAUUCAAUGGCUGGAAACAAUUUAUUUUGCUUAUGAAACAAUUUAUUUGAUGACCAUUUAUUUUGCCCACGAAACUGCCAAAUGUAUGGGCUCCAUGCACUGUCACUGUGGGCAGAGGAUGCUCUUUGAAAAUGGCUUAUUCACACAGCUGGCAAGUUGGUGUCGGCUACUGACUGGGAGUCCAGCGGGACUGCGGGCUGGAGGCCUCAGCUCUUCUUUGAAUGGACCUCUCCAUAGACAGGCUGAGCUCACUCAAAGGAUCACUGCAAGGGCGAGUGCUCCAAGAAAACCGGGGAGAAGCUGUGGGGCCUUUUCCAGGUUGUUACUACAAGGCCCGCCGUGUCACUUUGGCCACAGUCCUUUGGUCAAGGCAUUCACAAAGGUCCACCCGCGUUCAUAGACCCCCCGUCAGUGCUGGUCACAUUGAAAGAACUUACGGAUUGGAGAGAUUGUGGCCCCAUCCUUGGAAAAUAUAGUUUGUUGCAACAGUAAUUCUCUGUAUUCACCACUUUUAUGCUUACUUUCCAUGAACAGCCUGUACAAUUGUGUCCUUCUCCUUUUUAUGACUGUUCCGAUUACAUUUAUUAAAAUGCACUUUUAAGUCUGUGGACUCUAAUAAUAAAUCAUUAAAGGUUGUAUUUUGCG
Long non-coding RNA from Bos taurus (domestic cattle), 1029 nucleotides. The record is from Ensembl. NCBI's taxonomy places the organism in Eukaryota, Metazoa, Chordata, Mammalia, Artiodactyla, Bovidae.